This is a long non-coding RNA of Penaeus monodon (black tiger shrimp), 1205 nucleotides long. RefSeq lists it as uncharacterized. The record is from RefSeq and is a predicted model, not a curated record. The transcript has 4 exons. Lineage: Eukaryota; Metazoa; Arthropoda; Malacostraca; Decapoda; Penaeidae.
UAACACUAAUUAUUAUUAUUGUUAUAAGCUGGGUAUAUUUAUACGUUAAGGGAAUGAAGAGAAAGAACCACGUCCAGUUUCUACGUGCACUGAAAACAAAAAAUAAAUAUGUAACUCAUCUAGUAUUUUCUCAAACGCCCCGAGAUGUUACUCUGCCGUCUGGUUUGCUCAGGAAAUAAUAAUCACGCUGGAGGCGAGCAAAGCGCCGCAGUCUGGCGCAGAAUGAAUCCAUUUCCCGCUCGACUGUGGUUUAUAUAUUUGAUUUUGGUGACGUCACGAGCCGCGGUGAACGCCGUUUGUUGAAAUGACUUGUAAAAAAAAAAAGGAGGCAAAAUUAAAAGAAAAAGAAAGACGAAUUGGUAAACGUAUUUAAGGGGAAAUAACAGGUACGCGAAUACAAAAAUAACCUAAUUGUCUGUAGGUGUGGGGAGAGGGUAUCUAAAUCCAGGUAAUAAUAAUAACUGGUAGUGGAACUCUGAGAUGAAGCUUGAAAUUAUUUCCAUGUAAUAGAUAAAAACUGAUUACGUUUACGAUUAGACUACAUGAGUAACUGAAUCAGAUAGCGAUAAGAUAAAACAACAUAAGAAUAAUGUCUGAAUAAAUAACAACGGUUAUGAUGUGAACUGACGUAUUUAUUCAAUGCGGUGAAUUACGAUUGCAUAUCCCUGUCCACACACACACACACACACACACACACACACACACACACACACACACACACACACACACACACACACACACACACACACACACACACACACACACACCAUGAGAAUGUCCCUGACUGCCGACAUCUUCCCUCCCUCAGGUCAUCUGGCUCCGACGCCGCGACCUCCACAUCCUGACGGUGGGCCACCUGACCUACUCUGCCGACGACAGGUUCCAGGUGGUGCACAACGACAACAGCAACGAGUGGACUCUCGUUAUCCAGUACGCUCAGCUGAGAGAUGCGGGCAUUUACGAGUGCCAGAUCAACACGGAGCCUAAGCUGUCGCGGCCCGUCACUCUCACCGUGUAUGAUUCUUCACAAGAGAUAACUAUUACGAAGACAAAGGUUUUCGUUGCUAACAACACAGCUUCUACAAAGGACGGCCACCUUCGCGUAGAAAUCUUGGGUCCGCGAGAAAGAUAUAUUAAUGAAGGCUCAUCUCUCACCCUAAUUUGCCUUGUGACGUCAUCGUUCGGCCCGUCCCGGGUGUAGUUGG